AAUUUUAAGUUUGAAUUCAAAAUUUAGAUUCGAUUUAGAAUUCAAAUUUAAAAUUUGAAUUCUAAUUCAAAACUUUAAUUCAGCUUUAAAUUCAAAUUCAAAAUUCUAGUUUCUCGUUAGUUUAAAAUUUUAACUUUAAUAUUAUUUUUAAACUUAAAUUUAAAAUUUUGAAAUUUUAUUUUUGGCGACUAAAGUAAAAAACAUGCAAAGUUUAGGGACCAAAAUUAACAUGCAAAAGAAUGCUAAAUAGGCACUGACGUGGCGAUUUCGUUAAUUUUAACAAUUUUUUUAACUGCUGGGAUGUAAUUAUAAUAAAAUCAAAAAUUUAGAGACCAACGGUGUAAUUAACCCUAGUGUGUCCCAAUUUUCGCUCUCCGCACUCUCUGGGAAGCUCGAUCUCUAGCACCUUUUUCGUCACGCACUAACUUUAUUUUCAUACACCGACCGUCCCUAACGCAUGUAGCAAAGGGCUUGGUGGUUGAUAUCUGAGGUCCCAAGUUUGAAUCAUAAUUGAUUCAUAUUUCUAGCUAAGUUUAUUUCUAAAUGAAAUAAACGAAGCAGAUAGCAUGUUAUCUAUCUCUCA
RNAcentral lists this long non-coding RNA (583 nucleotides) under Ananas comosus (pineapple). RNAcentral's name for it is "long non-coding RNA (ACOM_LNC042674)". The record is from RNAcentral. Lineage: Eukaryota; Viridiplantae; Streptophyta; Magnoliopsida; Poales; Bromeliaceae.